This 2150-nucleotide long non-coding RNA is filed under the name Sus scrofa (pig). RNAcentral's name for it is "lncRNA (ENSSSCG00050046144.1)". The record is from RNAcentral. Lineage: Eukaryota; Metazoa; Chordata; Mammalia; Artiodactyla; Suidae.
GCUCUGCCUCCGACCUACGGAGGGAUCACGCGGCAGUGGAGGGCAGAUAAAAAGCCCUUUGGACGAGGGUCGCCUCCGUCCUUGUUGUUCACUUGGGAGCAGUGGAGAGGAAAACGGUCCCCACGGGCGGACUUUGGCUUCUGGAGCCGCGGGGCUCAUCCGUCCAGGCCUCCCGGAGCCUCUGCUGGGUAUAGGGGGAGGGGCAGCGGGGGAGGGGACUGGGAGAAGGGAUCUGGGGACGGGGGGCUGGAAGCGCUAAGGAGACCUGCUGGGAGGAUUUGCGUCAGCAGGUCCAAGAGAGACUUGGGAGCGCUGAGUGCAGGAGGUGGAUCUCGGCCUAGUUUGCUUGCAGAAAUAGAACUGUAUUUCGAGGAAAUCAAUCAAUCUGCAGGAAACAAAAAUGGAAGUCGAGGUUUGGGAAGAGUUGUCACUUCCCCGACUCGAGUGGUGCGGGCCGGGGGCGGAGACUUGGGGCCGCGGAGAGGCCCUUUCUCCCACCUCAGCUCGUUCCCAGGACUUCCAGAAGGGAGAAGUACCCUCCUCACCCCUCUUCUUCCCCACACCCGUCCUCGCUCGCCCGCCGGCCCCUUUCCGCACCUCCUUCUCCCCUCAAGUGAGAAAAGCCUAGUUCCCGAGCCGGUGUACGCGGUUGCCUUACCCCUCCCCGCUCCCACGCGGGUGCCCCCUCCAGCCAUCGCUACUGCCACCACCUCGGUUCCACUCAAUCGAUUUUUGCUGCAUGUCAACACUUAUUCCCGAAAAUGGCCCGCUGAUGAUGUGACCCAGUGUACCAGGACUAAGGCUUGGGGUGGUUUCCUUAGAAUUCCAAGACUCCUUCUACCAAUGCCUCCUCUGACCAGAAGCAGCAAAGUCUUUCUGCCUCCAUCAACAGUUUGCAGCGGCACCGGACCCCCUGCACGCAGUCCUGGGCUGGAUCCUUUAUCCUUGUCCCUCUGGGGAGAUGAGACCAAGAGCCGCUUCCACUGUCCCAGAGAAGACAGUGGAGCAGAUACGGAAUGUGACUUGGAACCCCGGUUAGUGGCAAGCCGGUUCUUGGGCUCUUUCCUCCGUUCUACUACUGUCAACAGCCCCCUCAACUCUGCUUCCCUAGGCGGGUAUCUGGGUGAAGUUCCUGCACAUCGUUCUCGGUCCUCCCGGAUGAACUGUCAGGGCCUUCCCUAAUGUCACUUUACGAGGCCGCCUGCGCUGGGUUGAAGGAGAGUCUCCCCUGACUGACUCGUCCCGCUGCGUGCAGGCGCAGGAGGGGGGAGAGCAGAUGGGGACGACCCUGCAGGCCGUCCUGAGCGCCACAGACGGGGAUUUACCUGCCGAGUCCAAGGCGACAGACAACAGGUCACUUUGUUAGAGAAUAAGAUAAUAUCAAACAAAAGAAAGUAAAAUAAAACCCUUCUUAUGAGGGCGCUGGGCCUCGGGCGAUGUUCAUUCCCAGGGUUCUACAGACCUCAAUGCCUCCACCCCCGCCUAAAAUCCGCGAAAUCGCAGGAGCCAGUCUUAUCUGCCGAGGCAGGGCCUUGUUUGUCAUUUCUCUGACAGGGGGGGAAAAAUCCCUCCUGCAAAUUCUGGGCGCGCAGCUUCCCUCCCCAGCUGGUGACCCUCCUUCCCCCGUGCAGCUCCGCCGGCCUCUCAGCUGCCCUUCGUCAGGAGAUAGCAGCCUGGACAGCGAACCGGGACCUUCUGGACCCCCGGGUUUAGCCGGGCCACGCGACCCAGCCCUUAGAAGGACCUGAGGUGCCGUGGCUCCGCCUGACGUGCCCCCAAGGGCGGCCUCGCCUUGGGUCUCCCUGGCCGCCCGCACGGCACAGGCACGACCGUGUCCUACGCUGUCUACUGACCACAACAGCUGCUUUAUCUUAAUGUUCCUUCUUGGCCGGCGACGUGGGAGAAGCGCGGUGGCAAGACGUGCCGCCUCGCAUUACCCUGACGGUAUUUUCAGAGGCACCCGGAGAAGCGGCGGCCCAGGGGGCAACCUACGCACCUCCGGGGACUCCUCUCGGGUCCCGACGCUGGUGUUUGCACGUCCCUCCGGACAACAACACUGAAAUCUAAUCCGCAGCUGCCGCCGAGCGCCCACCUCCCGCCUUCCCCGGCGCCCCCAGCCCGCGCGGCCCGAGACCUGCAUCCGAGCCCGG